RNAcentral lists this ribosomal RNA (333 nucleotides) under uncultured eukaryote. Its description in RNAcentral is "LSU rRNA". It matches the Rfam family "Bacterial large subunit ribosomal RNA", at positions 2147 to 2478 of the family's 2925-position model. The record is from RNAcentral.
GUGGGNAGGCUAUGAACCUUUUCUUCUGGGAAGAGGGGAGCCAUCAGUGAGAUACCACUCUUGGUAAGCUAGAGCGCUCAGUCUUCACCGUCAUCCGGUAAGACGACAGUUUCAGGCGGGCAGUUUGACUGGGGCAGUCACCUCCCAAAAGGUAAUGGAGGUGUGCAAAGGUUCCCUCAGGCUGGACGGAAAUCAGCCAUAGAGUGUAAAAGCAUAAGGGAGCUUGACUGCGAGACUGACAUGUCAAGCAGAGACGAAAGUCGGCUUUAGUGAUCCGACGGUGCUGUGUGGAAGGGCCGUCGCUCAACGGAUAAAAGUUACUCUAGGGAUAAC